UUAAUUGAAGAGUUUGAUCAUGGCUCAGAUUGAACGCUGGCGGCAGGCUUAACACAUGCAAGUCGAGCGGUAGCACAGGGGAGCUUGCUCCCUGGGUGACGAGCGGCGGACGGGUGAGUAAUGUCUGGGAAACUGCCUGAUGGAGGGGGAUAACUACUGGAAACGGUAGCUAAUACCGCAUAACGUCGCAAGACCAAAGAGGGGGACCUUCGGGCCUCUUGCCAUCAGAUGUGCCCAGAUGGGAUUAGCUAGUAGGUGGGGUAAUGGCUCACCUAGGCGACGAUCCCUAGCUGGUCUGAGAGGAUGACCAGCCACACUGGAACUGAGACACGGUCCAGACUCCUACGGGAGGCAGCAGUGGGGAAUAUUGCACAAUGGGCGCAAGCCUGAUGCAGCCAUGCCGCGUGUGUGAAGAAGGCCUUCGGGUUGUAAAGCACUUUCAGCGAGGAGGAAGGUGGUGAGCUUAAUACGUUCAUCAAUUGACGUUACUCGCAGAAGAAGCACCGGCUAACUCCGUGCCAGCAGCCGCGGUAAUACGGAGGGUGCAAGCGUUAAUCGGAAUUACUGGGCGUAAAGCGCACGCAGGCGGUUUGUUAAGUCAGAUGUGAAAUCCCCGGGCUCAACCUGGGAACUGCAUUUGAAACUGGCAAGCUAGAGUCUCGUAGAGGGGGGUAGAAUUCCAGGUGUAGCGGUGAAAUGCGUAGAGAUCUGGAGGAAUACCGGUGGCGAAGGCGGCCCCCUGGACGAAGACUGACGCUCAGGUGCGAAAGCGUGGGGAGCAAACAGGAUUAGAUACCCUGGUAGUCCACGCUGUAAACGAUGUCGAUUUGGAGGUUGUGCCCUUGAGGCGUGGCUUCCGGAGCUAACGCGUUAAAUCGACCGCCUGGGGAGUACGGCCGCAAGGUUAAAACUCAAAUGAAUUGACGGGGGCCCGCACAAGCGGUGGAGCAUGUGGUUUAAUUCGAUGCAACGCGAAGAACCUUACCUACUCUUGACAUCCAGAGAACUUUCCAGAGAUGGAUUGGUGCCUUCGGGAACUCUGAGACAGGUGCUGCAUGGCUGUCGUCAGCUCGUGUUGUGAAAUGUUGGGUUAAGUCCCGCAACGAGCGCAACCCUUAUCCUUUGUUGCCAGCGGUUCGGCCGGGAACUCAAAGGAGACUGCCAGUGAUAAACUGGAGGAAGGUGGGGAUGACGUCAAGUCAUCAUGGCCCUUACGAGUAGGGCUACACACGUGCUACAAUGGCAUAUACAAAGAGAAGCGACCUCGCGAGAGCAAGCGGACCUCAUAAAGUAUGUCGUAGUCCGGAUUGGAGUCUGCAACUCGACUCCAUGAAGUCGGAAUCGCUAGUAAUCGUAGAUCAGAAUGCUACGGUGAAUACGUUCCCGGGCCUUGUACACACCGCCCGUCACACCAUGGGAGUGGGUUGCAAAAGAAGUAGGUAGCUUAACCUUCGGGAGGGCGCUUACCACUUUGUGAUUCAUGACUGGGGUGAAGUCGUAACAAGGUAACCGUAGGGGAACCUGCGGUUGGAUCACCUCCUUACCUAAAGA
RNAcentral lists this ribosomal RNA (1551 nucleotides) under Serratia marcescens. Its description in RNAcentral is "bacterial SSU rRNA". It matches the Rfam family "Bacterial small subunit ribosomal RNA". The record is from RNAcentral. Lineage: Bacteria; Pseudomonadati; Pseudomonadota; Gammaproteobacteria; Enterobacterales; Yersiniaceae. RNAcentral also lists the same sequence under 1 other name.